Camarhynchus parvulus is the source of this 3822-nucleotide long non-coding RNA. NCBI's taxonomy places the organism in Eukaryota, Metazoa, Chordata, Aves, Passeriformes, Thraupidae. The record is from Ensembl.
CAGUCUUCAAUAAAUAUGUUUUACUAAUCAGUUAGCAUGAAUUAAUAUUGAAAUCCUCUGUAGGUUUAGCAAGUCAGUGAACAUUGGUGAGGCCCCUCUGUUGCUGCCAGUGCUGCUGGAUGUUGGCAGUGUUGCUGGCAGCACCCAGCUGUUCCUGGCACCACUGUGGAGCACAAGUGGGCCCAGGAGGUCCAGGGGCAGUAGCAGUGCUGGAAGGACAGAUGCACACAUGCCCCGAGGGAGAAGCUCCUGGGAAACAUUGCUCUUGGGAGAACCCCCCAUGCAGCAGGGCCUGCCUGAGGGCAGGGGGGCUGCCAGCUUGAGCCAAGGUGGCAGUGGCCAGGCAGUGCUUGCAAGAAGCUCUGGAGACCCCUUUUUCCAGGACACAGGGCUGCUUGUGUGUAUACCUGAGCAGCAGAAGGAGGAUGCUGCUCUCACCUGCACACAGGACCCUUGGUCAUGGCAGGGCAAUCCCCAGCCAGCAAUGCAGAGGAGUUUGUAUGCUGCAUUUAAACCACCAAGCAGACCAACUCCUAAGCUGCCUGGGCAGCAUUUUCUCUUGCCUCCCCAUCCUUAGCAGGGCAGGAGCCAUACAGUGCCUGCUGACUGUGCCUUCUCUGGCCCAUCACAAGAAGAUGAGCAGCAUCCCUGAGGACUAAAUGGCCAAGGUGGCAGGGAGAGUGGCUCCACGCUGGGGUCAACACUUGAGUCUUGUCAUGCUGAUGCUCCUUGGCAUCCUUGACAAUUAUGAUUCUUCCCUGCUUCCACCUUGUGCAAACACCUUAGAGCUGGAACACCAAGAAAUGAAUAGGCUGAACCCUUCGAGCUGCCCCUGUUCAGACAGAUAGACAGGCUGUGGGGUGCCCGAGCCCAUUCUGCUCUGCUCUGAGGACAGCAGACACAGGGAAAAUGCCUGAAGAGCUGAGCACGCAGCUGCAACAGGAGCUGGGUGUUUGGUUACUGGUUAGAAUAAUUUUGGUCUUGCUCAGCUGCUCUUUGCUUCCCUCACUGCGGGGGUCUGACACCCCUCCUGUGAGCAGAGGCAGGUGCCCCAGCCAGCAGGGUUUCUGCUUUCCUGAACUGGACAUGUCUGCCUGCUGCGGGCAAGCAUGUCAAAUCACACCUACCAUAUUGGCUUCCUGUCCCCAGAACAUCAGAUUUUUGCAGCUAAUGUGUGGGGGGUGUCUCCUCCCGCCAAUCUCCACCCCCAGCAGCAUCAGGUCUGUGCUGUUCGGGGUUUUGUUAAGCCGUUUAGUAUUAAUUGAUUUUUUUUUCCAUUUUUUCUUUCUUUCCCUGGGCGGGUCAAUAGCUGGAUGCUCAAGAGCAGAGGAUCUAUCAACUGCAGACCAAGCAGAGGGAGAGGCAGGCAGACCUGGAGCAGAAAUGCAGCCAGAGCAGCAGCUCAGCCAGGACCCGGGGGCCAGCCACCAGCUACGGAAGGGAGCUUGGAGCAGAUGUUUAGCAGCUGUCCCCAGUCUCCAAGGUAUGACACAGCCAGGUGGUCCUAACCUUGCUGAAGAUCCGGGGCAUUUGCACCAUUUUUCUCACAAGAUCUCACUGCAGUCUCAGCUGCUGUAGCUCUGUUCCUCCUCAGGAAUUAGGCUUGGGGCUCUGCUAGAAUAAAAUCAGAUGAAGAUGGAGAGAUAGAUCUGUGGAAACGUUUGUUUGGUGCCCAGGAGCAGCCCAAAAGGCAAACUGACUGUUAACAAUUAUGAAGAAAAUAAUGGGGACCAGAUCACAGUUCUGCCAAUGAACAGAUUCAUAGUGAAAGCUGUACUGUGAUUUCUAUAUGCAGCUGUCUGCCUCUCUCAAGAAAAAGAUUUGGAAGUGUUUCAGAGAAGACCAACAAGGAUGAUAAAAUACAAAGAAUAUUUUCCAUGUGAGUAAAAAGUGGAUAGUAUUUUUAGGCUGGAAAAAAAUAGACUGAAGGGGAUUAUAGUACAAAGUUUAGCAAAUAGACGUUGCCUGCAGUAUGAUUUCUCGCCAUCCCUUCAAUGUAAGAACCAGCAGCACCCCAUAAAUUAGCAGGUAAUAACAAAAAAAGCAAAAACCAGAUAUUUUUUGAACAUUGUGCUGUGUCAGACUGCUUCACACAGGGUGUGGUGCACCCCCAAAGCUCAUAUGUAUUCAAAAAUAAAUAAAACAUUUUAAUGGGAGAAAAUAUCCACUCACAUUGAUGGCAUGCAAGAGCCCAUUUCUGCUUCCGGAGCCCAUGGGCUGCAGGUGGCUGAGGCUGGCAGAGUGUUCCUGGAAGCACUGUGGGACCUGUGGCCUCUGUACCCCAGCAUGGAUGCACCAACCAGACUCCAGGAACAAAUCACCAAAGUGCACAGUCUUCUAGAACAGCCCACCAGUGGAGAAAUAGAAAACAGGUUUUUUGUAGCUAUACUGGAACUUCACAGUUGAUUUUAAGCCUCUUAGACAGUAUAAUACUGACUGCAAGUUCCUGCUGAGGGCUAUCGACUCCAGCCUGUGCCAAGCUGCAGGGAACACCCUGUGCCAUGCCUGCGUGUGAUGGAGCAUGUCUCUGCACCAACAGUGUGACUGACUCAGAUCAGAAACCAGCUUCCUGGGAUUUCCCACCAGCAUCCUUUCACACUGCCAUCCGGCAGCAGAGAUCUGUGCAUCCACCAGGUGACAGGCACCAGAAGACAGCAUCAUCUUCAAACCACACGGAGGGAUUAGUGCAGGCUGGAAGCAGCCCCGUGCUGCCCUCUGUCCAGGGUGGGACACACUGCCUGGUGGGCUGUGUGGAAGGAGGGGGCUUGCACUGCAGAGGUGGCUUUCCCAGGUUGUGUGCUUGUAAGCAGACACCGUGGCAAACAAUUUGAAUGUUGUAGUGUAACUCCUAAUCUGGUUCUUUUGAAGCACCUGCUGUUGUGCUAAGGAAUGUCUGCAUGAUGGAAUGCAAGGCUAUACCUUAAGUACUUCAAAUUAAUUGAGAGCAGUAGUGUUUCAUGCUGUGGGACCACAUCGAGGCCACUGACUAUUUACAGUGCUGUAGGUAAGAGCUGCAGGCAGCAUGGAUUGUGUGGGCAGGAUGGGCAGGACGGACAGGAGGGCCAGUGUGGGCCGUGCAGACCAGGCACCAGAGCAGCAGCUGACAAAGGUCAGCUGUGUGGUGCUGUUUUGUUAUUACUUCAGGCAGCAUCUCUGCUUCGUCACACGCUUCCUAUUCUGUGACACACUGCUCUCAGCAGUGAUUCAGCAGUUACAGAUUCUCCAUUUUUUUAUCAAGGUUAAUUCCCCAUCACCAUUAUUUUUGCAUACCUUCUACUGCAAGAAUGAAGAGGCCAGUACUGAGCAGCAGUGAAUGCUCAACCAGCAUAGUAACCAGCCAAAUUCCAUAUUAGCAGCAUGGUUUAAAUACCCAGCCUGCUUCUACAUGGUGAUCAAUAACACAGUGGAAGGGAAUGGAAGGGGCCCCUGCUCCAGUUGGGUAAUGCUCCCCUAUUUCUGGAGUUUGUAAGCACAAUAUCAAAAUUACAAAGCACAACACUUUCCAUUUCUUGCUAUCAUUUUGAAUUAAAGACUUUCUAUUGAAGACACUCACUUCAAAAACCAGCUAGGCACUUUCUAAUAUCAAGCAAAAUGCCUGAAGAAUAAAUUGCUCCUAUCAGAAAUAAAGCAUUUUAGUUCUGCCAGAAGCAGAGAGAUCUGUGUUUGUAAGUCCCUCCAAAGGCAACUCCAUCUUUCCUGUUUUCCUCUCAUUUUCUUUUGAUGCACGAAGCCUGCACAUUGCAGUGCUGUGAUUGGAUUCAGCUUUGGAGCAGUGUAAUGGUAAAUAUUCAUUGGAAUCCAAGCUAGUUUUCCCAAGUCUCU